RNAcentral lists this ribosomal RNA (902 nucleotides) under uncultured bacterium. RNAcentral describes it as "bacterial SSU rRNA". It matches the Rfam family "Bacterial small subunit ribosomal RNA", at positions 19 to 902 of the family's 1533-position model. The record is from RNAcentral.
AUUUUUCUGGGUUGCAGGCGGGUCUUACCAUGCAAGUCGAACGGGCCCGCGCCUUUUUUUGGGGGCGGGUUGAGUGGCGAACGGGUGAAUAUCACGUGAGUAACCUGCCCUCCCCUCCUGGAUAACCGCUUGAAAGGGCGGCUAAUACGGGGUGGUCCGGUUGGUCCGCAUGGGCUGGUCGGGAUAGUUUCAUCUUCGGGUGUUUCGGUGGGGGAUGGGCUCGCGGCCUAUCAGCUUGUUGGUGGGGUGAUGGCCCACCAAGGCGGUGACGGGUAGCCGACCUGAGAGGGUGGGCGGCCACACUGGGACUGAGACACGGCCCAGACUCCUGCGGGAGGCAGCAGUGGGGGGUAUUGCACAAUGGGCGGAAGCCUGAUGCAGCGACGUCGCGUGAGGGAUGGAGGCCUUCGGGUUGUGAACCUCUGUUCCCGGUGGUGAAGGCCCCGCCCCUGGUGGUGGGGUUGACGGUAGCCGGGUAUGAAGCGCCGGCUAACUACGUGCCAGCAGCCGCGGUAAUACGUAGGGCGCGAGCGUUGUCCGGAAUUAUUGGGCGUAAAGGGCUUGUAGGCGGCCGGCCGCGUCCGUCGUGAAAUCCUCCGGCUCAACCGGGGGCUUGCGGUGGGUACGGGUCGGCUGGAGUGCGGCAGGGGAGGCUGGAACUCCUGGUGUAGCGGUGGAAUGCGCAGAUAUCAGGAGGAACACCGGUGGCGAAGGCGGGUCUCUGGGCCGUUACUGACGCUGAGGAGCGAAAGCGUGGGGAGCGAACAGGAUUAGAUACCCUGGUAGUCCACGCCGUAAACGUUGGGCACUAGGUGUGGGGCGUUCCCGUUCGCGGGGGCUCCGCGCCGUAGCUAACGCAUUAAGUGCCCCGCCUGGGGAGUACGGCCGCAAGGCUAAAACUC